This is a long non-coding RNA of Mustela lutreola (European mink), 5873 nucleotides long. RefSeq lists it as uncharacterized. The transcript is spliced from 4 exons. Lineage: Eukaryota; Metazoa; Chordata; Mammalia; Carnivora; Mustelidae. The record is from RefSeq and is a predicted model, not a curated record.
UGGAGGAAGUUAACUCUUCUGUGAAGUUAAGGAGAAAAUCUUUGAAACCUUUUAAAUGGAAGGAGCUGAAACUAAAAUGGCUACAGUAGACUGGAAGAGAGAAAGAGGCAGUGGCAAAAACAGACUCAAGAGAUGUAAUAAAGAGGAUCAAGUAUGCCUGAGAGAAUAAGGAAGGAUGACAAGCAGGGGCCACAGAUGGAUUCAAGAAGAUCAUGGUGAUGCAAGCGUGGCUAUGUGGCGUGAGGUGAAUGUGGUUUUCACUUGAAAGAGAGUUGAUUCAUCGUGAUUAGACAAUGGUGAAUGAGACUGAGGAGCUGUCUCUGCUUCCUGACUUCUCACUUGACCAGAGAGGAUGUGAAUGGUGGCAAAAAGGAAAGAGAUCCUGAUAUUUUGAUACCGACAUCCCUCCACUCCAGUUCCCAUCCUGGCUUAUUUCAUCAGUGAACUGGUUUGCAGAUCCAUGGUCUGGAGGCUGGCUGCUUCCACUCCCUUGGUGCUUUCAUCCUCCUCUCCCACCAUCUCAUGAAGAUCCCCCAGGGGUGCUCUGUUAGGAACUGGGUUGUCAUCCUCAAAUUGGCAUGGCUGCAUUCAAUAGCAUUGCUUCUGGUGAUGUGUUUGUUAGCGGGCUGUUUGCUAAUAAUACCUGAUGAAGUAUCACCACCAUUAAGCUUCUUGAAAAUGAGCGUGAUGUGCUGUGGAAACUCUGGGAUUAGGGUACAUAGUAAUGAUGAAGUUUGGUUCCAGACCAGCUGUUUGUGACAAAGGGCUAGGGAGUUGAGACAGUCCUGAGCUACACUCUGUGCAGAAAGAGAAGAUGCAAAGAAAUCAUCUCUCCGAUGCAGAUUUCUUUCUGAUCUCAGUGACAGUUUACCCCAAGGGACUCAGAGGCUGGAAAUCUUUUUGUAAUGAGCAUUUUGCUUGUCUCACAACUCCAGAAUAAAGUUAGCACCUUAACUAAGGGGUAGAGUUUAUCAAAAAGGUUAAAAUCAGUGUAAAGUAAUAAAUUAGAGAAAGUUGCCUCCAAUUUUCUGCAGUUUAUAACUCUAAAAAGCUUAAGACCAGUGGCUUUCUAAACAAAACAAAAAAGAGGAAUACAUCAGAAUUUCUUGAGAAGGUUGUUAACAACUCAAAUUCUAGGUGUUUCCCCUAGAGAUUCUGAUUCAGUGGGCUCCAUACAAUGUCUACAACACUAUGUUUUAGCAUAUAACCCAGUCAGUUCUGACUCGGGUGGUCUUAAGAAAACUCCUUGUGAGGCAAUGACACAGACUUCCCAGAGACCUAGAAUUUAAUCUUUAUUUUUUCUUUCUCUUCCUUUCUGUUCUCUUCCUCCUCCUCCCCCUUUCUUCUUCCUUAAAGACUUAUUAGAGAGAGAGAGAGAGAGAGAAUGGGGGAGCACGAGCCAGAGGGAGAGAAAGGGAGAGAGAACCUCCAGGAGACUCCCCACUGAGCGAGGAGCUGGACACAGCGGUUCGAUCCCGGAACCCUGAGAUCAUGACCUGAGCCGAAAUCGAGAGUUAGAUGCUUAACUGACUGAGCCACCCAGGCACCCCUAGAAUUUAAUUUUUAGCUGCCAUUGUACCCUGUUGUAUUCAGACAAUGAAAUCCACAUGAAAAUGCUCUCCCAAGUUUCUGUUCUCUUUCCAUGCAUGGAUUCAUGUUUCCACUUGUCAGUUUGAUCACACUCCUUCACUUUCCAUGUCAAAUUGCUGGCGGUUUUGCAUUCGUUCUCCGGGUCCAUUCUCUACCCAUCUAAUCCACCUUGUGUCCAGGAGGCCAGUCUCAAAAUACUGUAUCUAACAGUGUCCUUUGCCUUCAGGAGGCCGGUGGAGAGUGAAGGCAGCAUUUAUGUUUCUGUGCUCCCUUCUAAAGAAGUCUGUCAGUGGCUGAAUUUCUCUACUAAAGCAUUGACUAGGAGGCAUCAUACUAUAGGUCAGGCUGGAUUCUGGUAACUGCCCCCUUCCCUUGCCCUUCAGGCCUAGAAGACUUCUAGUUUCUUAAGAUUGUCUAAUGGUACUUCCCUAGCUCUUGUUGGUUUUAUGGAACUCUAUUUGUACAUUGUGAGAGUCCUAUGGUUAAACCCUUUUCAAUGAUUCCUUUUGAGUGUGGCAUGCUUUUCCUGAGGGAACCCUGACCAACAAUUUAAGUAGCUUUAUACUAGUUUCUGAGAAGGUCAUGGAAAAUAAAGCAUGGUCAGAAAUGAUCAUUCUGAACUGGGGUAAGUACUGUGUAGAAGACGUAUAGAGCAAUAAGUGAACAAAGUUGAAAGGAAAAAGGUAUUUGUCCUGGCCAUUGGGAAGAAACUUAUAAAUGAGAUGACAUUGCUGUAGGGUCGGAAUAUUAUUUAGAAAGUCCUUAGGUGGGAAAAUGGAAGGAAAGCCAUCUGCAGAGCUCCCCUGUAUGCUGUUUACCAUCAGACUCCCUGAAGUCACUAUUGUCUCUCACAAGAGUCAAUGCUAUGCUAUUCUCUUAUUUCAUCUUCCUGCAAUCGAUUCCCCAACACAUCAGAGGUGUGAUCUUUAUAAAACAUAAUUAGGAUAAUGUGAACAUAUAUGUGCUUAUAAGUAAAAGAAUCAUAUUUCUAAGUUCUUUGCAGCUAAACCUCAGAAUGCAUAGAAGGUAGACGCAGUCAUCAAAAAUAACGAUGCACAUAAUCCAAGGCCUUAAAUACUGCACAGUCACGGAAGGGUUUAGAAUAGAAAGGUGAUAUGGUCAAAUCUUUAUCUCUGGAACUCUGGAAACAAUACAAAAAAUGAACUAUAGGAAGAAGAGACUAGAAGAAGGAAAAACUUAUUAGGAGCCUCUUCUCACAUGAUAGGAUACUCACUGAUCUCGUAGAAGUGAUUCCGGUAUCCAUUGGAAAUAUUCUCUGAAACUGAUCAUUUUCCACAACAUUAUCUUCUGGUAAAGAGUAUGAAAAUCCCUAGUGACAAUUCACACCUAAGAUUCCACAAUUGCCUAGGCCUAUUGUCCCGAGAUAGUGUAAAAUUCUAAAUUGCUUUAAUGCUCUAUUAUAGGGAAAAAAAUUAUCAUAAAAGAAUAUUCAAACUUCAAAAUUUUUCUCAGCAAUCUGAUCAUUAUACCCUAAUUCUACUUUUUAAAAACAUCUUCUUUUACUCUUUCUUCAAAUAUAUAUUACUAAAUUACAUUAUGUAUUUUUCCAAUAAAUUUUGGCAUAGAUAUUGAGUACAUAUUGUGAUCCUGGAAAUUUAGGACAUUAUUUUUUGAUGGAAAGGCCUGAAUGUAAAAUAUUGAGCAUGAUUUAUUCUUGAGCACAUUUCAUUAUUUACUUAAAAAUAAAUAUAGAGAGGGCACCUGGGUGACCCAGUCAGUUAAGCAUCUGUCUUUGGCUCAAGUCAUGAUCCCAGGGUCCUACGAUUAAGCCCUGCUUUGGGCUCUCUGCUCAGCAGGGAGUCUACUUCUACCUCUACCCAUGCCUCCUGCUUGUGAUCUCUCUCUUACUCUUUCUUUCAAAUACAUAAAUAAAAUCUUAAAGAAAUAAACAUGGAGAAAGUUCCUAUAAAUUUACUUUCCAUAUAAUGGAAAAUAAUAUCACAUUCACUGUCAAAUUUCCUUAAAUAAAACUGAUUUUAUAUGAUUAACAACACAAAAGCAAAGUAUUGGAAGAGGUGAAAGGCAAAACAAAAUUUAACUACUCCCAUUUUGUGCUAGAAAGUCUUCUCAUAUGAAACUGUUUUUUCAUUCUUUUUUUGUGUGUGUAUGUGGCUUUUAAAAGCAAUCUUUAUUAAUAUUCAACUGACAUAUAAUAAGCUGAAUAUAUUAAGGUAAACAACUUGAAAAGUUAUCACACAUGUAUACACUCAUGAAACUACCAUCAAUCAAGAUGAUGAACUUAUCCAUCAGGGAUACAAAUUUUCUCAUGACUCCUGGUGAUCUCUUCUUCCCAACCUUCCUUGACCUCUACAUUGACCUCCCCAAAACAAAUCUGUCUUCUGUCACUAUAGAUUAGUUUAUAUUUCCUAGAAUUUAACAUAAAUGGCAUCAUACAAUUUUUGUCUAGCCUCUUUCAUUAGCGUAAUUAUUUUGAAAUCCAUCCAUGGUGUAGAGGAAAGGAAUACUUUGUCCCUUUUUAUGGAUGAGUAGUAGUCCAUAUUGAUACAGUAGAGUUUAUCUUUUUACAUAUUGAUGAAAAUUUGGAUUCUUUUCAUUUUGGAGUUUUUAUGAAUAAAACUUCUAUAAAUAAUUAUGUCUAAGUCUUUGCAUGGGCAUAUACUUUUGUAUCUCUCAGAUGAACCCAGGAAUGGAAUGACUGGAUCAUAUGGUAGUUAUAUUUUACCUUUUUAUCACAUUAUCAAAUUGCCCUCCAAAGCAUUUAAAUUCCCACUAGUUCCCAUUUAAAUUCCCACCAACAGUGUAUGAGAAUCCCAGUUCCUACAAAUAAUUGCCAACACUUGAUGUUCAUUUUUAAGUCUUUUUUCAUCUCUAUAAGUUUGAUUCAGGUAUUCUUACAUCCUUAUAUCCCCACCUUUUUGGACAUAUGUUUUGAUAAACUAUCUUAAUUUUAACAUCUGUGUCAGCUCAGGGUUGAUUUCAAUUGCUGGUUUUCCUCUUUAUGGGUCUUCUUUUCUUCCUUGCUCAUAUGAUUGGUAUUUUUUAUUAGAUGCCAGACAUUAUUUAACAUCGUUGGUUGCUGGAUAUUUUUGUUUUCCUAUAAAUAUUUUUGUGUCUUAUUUUGUAAUGCAGCUAAAUUACUUACAAACAGUUUGGUCCUUUGAUGUUUUUGUUAAGACUUAGUGGCCCAAAUAAUUCUCAGUAUAAGGAACUCCACUACUGAGGCAAGAUCCUUGUAAUGAUUCUGUCCAAUGCCCUGUGAAUCUUGUUUUUCCAGGCUGGUCCUGUGGGCGUGUGGGCACUGUUACCUUUACUCCUCUUGGAUGCCUCUUUCCCCAGCCUUGUCUGGUUUCCUCAGAGCAUGAAUUGCUCAGAACCCCAGGGAAUACUUGAGGCCAAUGCUCCACAGGUCUCCAGGGUUCUCUUCCUGGAGAGAACUAGUUCCCUGAUACUCUGUCUUGUGAACUUUAGCUGCCCUCGUCUCUCUGGUGUCUCAGCUCCAUCUUCUUAAAUUAGGUAGUUUCCUGAUUUCCCCUAACUCCCCAUAUCUCUACCAAAGGCCAGAAACUCUUUCAUAGCUACGAUACGGGCAAAAGGUCUGUCUCAUUUGUUUCCUGUCAUCAAAGAUCACUGCUCUUUUUCUAUCUGAUGUCCAACAUCUUGAAAACAAUUGUUCAUUUCUUUGUUUAUCUCAUAUAGAAGGGUAGUUCUGGCCCUGUGACUUUAUUUUGCCCAGAAGAUGAAGUUAUCUGUUACAAUGCAUAAGGUUUGUUUAAAAAAAUUUUUUUUUGUAUUAUGUAUUUUAUUUAAAUUUUUAAAAAUUUCUUUUCAGUGUUCCAGAAUUCAUUGUUUCUGAAUUCCAGUGCUGGUUUUUUUUUGUGUGUGGUGUUUUAAAUUUAAGUAUAUUGCAAGUGUCUUGGUUUUCCAGAAAAAUUACUUUAUGUAUCAGGAAAAGGAAUUUAAUUGUGAAGCAUAUCUAUGGCUCCAAGCCUAAUUUCACAAAAUGUUAGAGAUGAUGAAAUAGUGAUUUUUUAUGUUAUUGAAGAAAGUUUCAGAUAUGUUCUCUGAAAUAGUCUUACUGUUUCUUCUUUUCAAAAACGUCAUCAUUAACAUAAGAUAUAUUUAAGUAAAAGCUGUCUAGACUGUAAUCACUUACAUGACGAUGUUGACUUUAACCAUAAACAUUUAUUAUUGGAAUACACACCUGGCCUUGAUACUGUUACAUUUUAGAACAUAAUGGAAUUGCCACCUCCUACUCUGAAAGAGCCAUCUGUAUCUCUUGACAAGUAAAAAGAACCAUGCCC